UAAUACGAAGGGACCUAGCGUAGUUCGGAAUUACUGGGCUUAAAGAGCACGUAGGUGGUUAAGAAAGUUGGUGGUGAAAUCCCAAGGCUUAACUUUGGAACUGCCGCCAAAACUUUUUAACUAGAGUAUGAUUGAGGUAAGCGGAAUUUCUAGUGUAGAGGUGAAAUUCGUAGAUAUUAGAAAGAACACCAAUUGCGAAGGCAGCUUUCUGGAUCAUUACUGACACUGAGGUGCGAAAGCAUGGGUAGCGAAGAGGAUUAGAUACCCUCGUAGUCCAUGCCGUAAACGAUGUGUGCUAGACGUUGGGAAUUUAUUUUUCAGUGUCGCAGCAAAAGCGUUAAGCACACCGCCUGGGGAGUACGACCGCAAGGUUA
Molecule: ribosomal RNA, 374 nt
Filed under: uncultured Alphaproteobacteria bacterium
Lineage: Bacteria; Pseudomonadati; Pseudomonadota; Alphaproteobacteria
Description: bacterial SSU rRNA
Rfam family: Bacterial small subunit ribosomal RNA
Source: RNAcentral